GCAAGUCGAGCGAUGAGAUCACUUCUCGUGAAGGAUUAGCGGCGAACGGGUGAGGAACACGUGAAGAAUCUGCCUUCAACUCUGGGAUAACUCCGGGAAACCGGGGCUAAUACCGGAUAUGAGCCUUGAUCGCAUGAUCGGGGCUGGAAAGUUUUUCGGUUGAAGAUGACUUCGCGGCCUAUCAGCUUGUUGGUGAGGUAAUGGCUCACCAAGGCGACGACGGGUAGCCGGCCUGAGAGGGCGACCGGCCACACUGGGACUGAGACACGGCCCAGACUCCUACGGGAGGCAGCAGUGGGGAAUAUUGGGCAAUGGACGAAAGUCUGACCCAGCGACGCCGCGUGCGGGAUGAAGGCCUUCGGGUUGUAAACCGCUUUCAGCAGGGAAUAAGCGCAAGUGAAGGUACCUGCAGAAGAAGCACCGGCUAACUAUGUGCCAGCAGCCGCGGUAAUACAUAGGGUGCAAGCGUUGUCCGGAAUUAUUGGGCGUAAAGAGCUCGUAGGUGGUUUGUUACGUCGGUUGUGAAAUUCAGGGGCUCAACCCCUGACUUGCAGCCGAUACGGGCAAGCUAGAGUUUGGUAGGGGAGACUGGAAUUCCUGGUGUAGCGGUGGAAUGCGCAGAUAUCAGGAGGAACACCGAUGGCGAAGGCAGGUCUCUGGGCCAAUACUGACACUGAGGAGCGAAAGCGUGGGGAGCGAACAGGAUUAGAUACCCUGGUAGUCCACGCCGUAAACGGUGGGCGCUAGUUGUGCGAACCUUCCACGGUUUGUGCGACGCAGCUAACGCAUUAAGCGCCCCGCCUGGGGAGUACGAUCGCAAGAUUAAAACUCAAAGGAAUUGACGGGGCCCCGCACAAGCAGCGGAGCAUGCGGCUUAAUUCGACGCAACGCGAAGAACCUUACCCAGGCUUGACAUAUACAGGAAUAUGGCAGAGAUGUC
RNAcentral lists this ribosomal RNA (940 nucleotides) under uncultured Actinomycetales bacterium. RNAcentral describes it as "bacterial SSU rRNA". It matches the Rfam family "Bacterial small subunit ribosomal RNA", at positions 57 to 1010 of the family's 1533-position model. Lineage: Bacteria; Bacillati; Actinomycetota; Actinomycetes; Actinomycetales. The record is from RNAcentral.